UACGAAGGGUGCAAACGUUGCUCGGAAUUAUUGGGCGUAAAGCGCACGUAGGCGGCUUAGCAAGUCGGAAGUGAAAUCCCACGGCUCAACCAUGGAAGUGCUUUCGAAACUGCUGAGCUUGAGUACGAAAGAGGAUCGCGGAAUUCCCGGUGUAGAGGUGAAAUGCGUAGAUAUCUGGAGGAACAUCGGUGGCGAAGGCGGCAUCCUGGACCGAUAUUGACGCUGAGGCGCGAAAGCCAGGGGAGCAAACGGG
RNAcentral lists this ribosomal RNA (253 nucleotides) under uncultured bacterium. RNAcentral describes it as "partial 16S ribosomal RNA". It matches the Rfam family "Bacterial small subunit ribosomal RNA", at positions 524 to 776 of the family's 1533-position model. The record is from RNAcentral.